UACGGGGGGGCAAGCGUUGUUCGGAAUUACUGGGCGUAAAGGCUCGUAGGCGGCCAACUAAGUCAGACGUGAAAUCCCUCGGCUUAACCGGGGAACUGCGUCUGAUACUGGAUGGCUAGAGAUUGGGAGAGGGAUGCGGAAUUCCAGGUGUAGCGGUGAAAUGGCGUAGAUAUCUGGAGGAACACCGGUGGCGAAGGCGGCAUCCUGGACCAACACUGACGCUGAGGAGCGAAAGCCAGGGGAGCAAACGGG
RNAcentral lists this ribosomal RNA (252 nucleotides) under uncultured bacterium. Its description in RNAcentral is "partial 16S ribosomal RNA". It matches the Rfam family "Bacterial small subunit ribosomal RNA", at positions 524 to 776 of the family's 1533-position model. The record is from RNAcentral.